CCUUUGCGUUGACCGGCUCCUCAUGACCCCCCUCCAUCCUCCAGUCAAACCAUCAUUCUGGCCCCUGGGGGAGGGGGGGGGGUGGAUGUGCCUAGAGCACUGCACAUUACGUGGCGCUUUGAUUCGCUGGAUGAAGAGGAGGAUCUUUACUCCGGCUCACUGGGCGUUUUUCAUCAAAGUUCGAAGAUGAGUCGCCGGGUUCCUCACGAGCUUCAUUGUGUCCUUACGGAUUCCACGGAGAUGUAGAGCGGGGGCCAUUGUGUCUGAAAGGACUUCCAUGCAAUGAGAACGUAAUGAAAAAUGAAGUGCUUUUUCUUUUUUUUCUCUGUACCAUCUGGUCUCAAUCGCAGCCGUAUCCUAAACAUGAGCGGUUUCUUAAAUGCAAAGCUGGGCUCGCCUCCCAGAUGUUAAGCACUCAUUAUUCCAGUCAGGCCUCUCAGUCGGGCACAAAAAACCCAAAACUUUUUCACUUCAUUAUCACAUAACAAUAGCUGUUUUCACUGUUUAUGAUGUGGUCCGUGUUUAACUCAGUCACGACUCCGACGCCAGGGCAGCUUUCCCUUCGGGGUCACGUGGAAGAUCACACGUCACGCGCACAGAAAAUGGACACGUCUUUGAGCACUAAUUAUGACGUCAGUGUGAAAUUUGAGUCUGUCGAUGAAUGUGUGUGUUUGUACGAGACCUCAAACAUCCUGUUUAAUGUACCUAAAGUUCUUUACACGUUAACAUAUCCCUUUAAAAUAGUUUGGCGUAGUAACCUUUAACCAAUCAAACCACUGCACAGCCGUGUGCCCUCUGACGUCAGCACGCCGUCUCCCCACAAGCGCCACGACUAAAGUGCUGCAAAGAGGCCGUUGCUGCCCCGACCGACGGGGCCAGUCUAAUAACUGGAACGUGGGCGGCCUCGUGCUGCGUGCAGCUCUGUAGCUGCUUCCUUUCGUCGACUCUCACAUCCUCCUUUUGUUGACCGUCAAUGAAAGGUUUCCUCGUACGUCAGGGCCGCGCCGGCAACCACGUGGAGUCCCACCUAGUGGUGAGAAUGAUGAUGAUGAUGAUGAUGGGGGCCCGAACAGGUGCGUGGAAGCACCUGUAGGAGCCAGAGAGGAGCAGCGGAUGGAGAAACGCCCGCGUGUCACUUGCUAAAGUGACGGAAGACAAACUGCUGGGUCACUUCUUCAAAGCAAUGCGGCAGAUGUGCUGAAUCACUGUACAGAUGUGCUGAAGCUGCCGUGCUGUGAGGAGGCGACCUGCAUGAAGUCUGAGGACACGUCCCGGGACCCUGAAGGGACAUGAGUCACUGCAAUAUGUUUCAGCAUUCUCUUUAGUACAGCGUUGUAACACAGAUCCAGUUCAGAUAAAGUGGAUAUUAAGUGGCCGCUUCUCCUCUUUUCCCUCCCGAGACUAUAAGGUACAAACAAUUACAUGUUGGUAUUUUUUUAAUUUAACGACUGACAAAUAAACAGUGUCUUAAUUCGGCUGUGAAGUUGCUUCAUGAACGCUCAAAAAAAGGGUCAAAAUUGAUGCACUGCGACAAACGCUGUGCAGGGAGAGGAGAGUCACCUGACCACGUCGCUGCUUGAAUGAAUGACAACUCUGCCAGCAAUGCAACAUGUGGCGUCAGGAACGCCAUCAGGGCUUUCCCACAUGUUAGGAGACGGGUGAGCAGUGUGAUGACCACUGUGUGUGUAGUGCAACAUGCUUGUGUAACCUCAUCCAUCCUGAUGCUGUUAUGAAUUAACAGCGUAUGGUCUACAUUGUUAUUGGCAGACGUAAUGAAAGUGUGAUGACGCUCGUGUGAUUUUGACCUUUUCGCAGAGGACGGAAGAAAAGGGAAAGUCUGGCAAACAUGAACUAUACUUUAUGUACUUUUGGGAACAAGUUGGACCUUGACUCGUAAGUCUUGAUCUUCAAUCAUUUCAUCACACCUCACCCCUCCUGCCCCCCUCCUGCCCCCCUCCCCCAAACGCCAUUAGUCAAAUUGGAACGUCAAUACUGACUCGACCCUCAGCAAAGUUGUUGUGAUGUGAGCUUUGACCAAUGGAGGGCAGUGUGACUGUGACGACGAGCGCCAUCACACACGCGCCGCCGCGCUCACCUGCCUGAGAUGCCGCUGCGUUUGGCCACAAAGGCCGCAGAGCAAGACGUAGGAACGACGCGUUGAUUUAUCUGCCACCUGCCAGAUGUGACACGCUAAUACGUCCAGAUCCCUGCGAUUUAUAACUGAAUGAAGACAGAGGGAAAACGUUAGAUUGUUAAGUCCCAAAAAAGCAUCUGAUGAAAAUGGAAUAACACAUUUCUAUGGAUGCCAAGAUAACUAAUGAUCAGACUUACAGAUGAAUCAUGACUACUAGUCCUCUAAAAUGUUUUAGCAGUGGUUGGUUCUGAUAUUUGAGCCCUUCUCCCUCAAAAGAAAAUCCUGCAUCUGGAAAUAUACAUCUGCCGGUGUUUUCUCACUCAUCAACGUUUGAUUUUUCUUCUUCUUCCUUCUAUUCCACGUUUUUUUCUGAAAAGCGGCGGCAGGAGCCAGGAGGGGGCGAGGGGGGGGUCAGCUGAGCUCGGACGGCAGACUCACCUGAAGGCCAAACCUCAGACCUCGGGGUAGCACCACGUGACUGAAUUACACAAAGACUCCUUCCAGAGAUUACAAAGAAGAACCCGUAAGGCCCAGUGUGCAUUCUGUUUUUUGGUUUUCAUGCAGUCACCGAUUUAUCAUUUGUUCUGAUUGUGUUGAAUCAUUUUGCCGGCUCUAUUUCCUUUUGCGCGCUGACUUUUAUAUUCUUUCUAAUCUCAAUUUAUCAUUUUUUCAGGUCCAACUAUCUAAUGUUGUGUAAAAUAAUAUACUUUCCCCAUUUACACACACUCGCACUGCUUGUUCCUGCACCGCUACUGCUGCAUCUCUCCAAAGAGCUUCUGCAAACAGCUGCCUGAUUAAUAAGUUAGGCCCUCUAAAUAUGGCUCAGAGUCAUGAAGCCUUUAAAACAACUUAAUAAUAACGGUAAUCAAGAUUAUCAACAACCUCGCAAUUACAUCUUUACACUUUCCUCUCUUAAUUAUGUAUAGCUCUCCUUCAGCGUGGAUAAAAGGGCUCCUUUCCGGGUCUCAGGUGGAUUGUUCAUCUUAAGUGUUUAUGAUGGUGUAUUUGUAUCGCAGCUAAGCCGCGCUGCCUUAAAGUGGCAGCGAGCUAACGGGGGGCCGCGCCUCUUCCUGGGUGAGAAUCAACCACAAUCGAGGAGUAUCUAUGUUUUAUUUAUUGGUAUGUUUAAGUGCUGUUGGGGAGGAGGGGGGGGGGGGGGGGGACUACCAUUCAUUAUCAUAAAGGCCUCCAGACAUCAAGUCACACACACAAAAGAUCCAGUCAUUUCACACACACACACACACACACACACGCAGAUCAACCCGCGCGCCCGAGACGAGCAGGCCGUUUUGCUGCAGGGGCGCCUCGCCAGCAACCAUCGGAAGCUUCAGUGACAGAAGCUGACAGUGUCAAAGUGUCUUUGUCUCCCGCACAUAAACUGUCCCCGAAGCGGUCGUUGUGAAAGAGAUGUAAAACACAGGCUUUUCCUUUGCUUUUUUUCUUCUUUUUUUUCAUAGUGAGAGGAAGUUGUUUUCACCCCCCCCCCCCUCACACUUUUUUUUUUUUAUAAAUAUGUCACAUCUCUUCUGUCAGGGCCCCGGGGCGCCCGGUGGUGCUCGUGUUGCAGGAGGAGUGCGAGCAUCUGCAGACCCAGCGGAGUCUGACCACGUUGUACCUGCGCCCGUCUUCAUCUCGCUUACUUUGUCAAAUGAUGCUCAAAGCCGCGAUUCCUCAGACGGCCGCGUUGUCAUCUCAUCACAUCCGAGUGAAUGAAUCUUUGUGCCAGCACGAACAGAUGUUGGGGAGGGAAAAGUCAGUAAGAAAAACUCAAUAUGAAGCCUGCGGAGGCCUUCCUCUCUCUCUCUCUCGCUUUCUCUUCAAUUAUUUAGAGUCAAAGAAAAAGGCAUGGAGUAUUUCCACAGAACCCACUGUGUUCGGCAGGAAUGAAUCACACAUUUAUGUAGUCUCAUCUUUGCCAAAUAGCCGGAAAUGGAAACAAAUACGUUCAAUAGGGUCCUUGGCUCUGGUGUGUUUUUUUCUUUUUUCCUAUGCGUAGUAUUAAAAAUUCCUCUGGACCAGAAAUGAUGGAAGUGCUGACAAGCAAAAAACUGUUAUGGUAUCCAAAUCCAGUACGCUUAGCAGUUCAGGCAAAGCUCAUCCUCCCUCUCGUCUCAUGUGAUGGGGGAGGAGGGAGGGAGGGGAGGAGAAAAAGAGAGAGAGAGAGAGCAGGAAAAAGAGCUCACCUAUUUAAUUUGAUUAGAGAUUAGAAGAGGAAAAGAGUCACAUUUCCUCCCCGGCACGUCUCUACCCGGCGCACCCUGAACCCGAUUCUAUAAAGAGAUGUCAGAGCCGAGCGCCGCGGUAAUGCCUGUAAUUACUCUGAACUCAAAUAAAUAAAUAAAUUUGCUUUUGCUUUUGUGAAAGUCUGACAGCUUUUUCCAACAUCCUUCACUGGAAGAAAUUGAGGGUGUGAGCCCACAGGCGUGUACUUUUGGCAGUGUCUGUGUGUGUGUGUGUGUGUGCGUGUCUUUGUGUGGGUGUGUUUACAUACAGCGAGGCACUUGUAAAGGAGAAACACAGACAGGAUGAAAUCUUGACAGCUACAGUAUGGCUUGUCCCCCCCCCACCCCCCCCCCUCGCUUCUUUCUAUUUUGACUGCGAUAAUCUCCGCUCUCCCCGCGCGCCCCGUUUGAGACUGAUGAGGUUCGAGGUGCAAGCUUUGUAAAUAAUAAGGUUAGACUUUCUACACAGUUGCCGGUGCUGCGACUGAUCUCGCUCCCAUUAGUGACAAUUGGCUGUGACCUCACCUGCUCACCCGCGCUGUCAUCACCGAGGGUGUAUCUACUACAGCGGCAGUAGCAGGCGAUUAGAUCAGCCGCUCUGGUCAUGGAGGGAGACACGCAGACAAAUGCAGCUCUGCUGAACCAAAGGGGGUCUGAUGCACGGUGUCAUGGAGGUUGGCUGCUUGACUUUUGAUGCUGUGCAACUGCAGAAGUUGGUUUCAUAUUUCACGUAUUAGAGGGGGGAAAAACUAAAAACCUCUCGCAAAGCAAGCAGUGUGUUUUCAGGUACAAUCUCAACAGUUACUUAAAGAUAAUCCAGCUGCAUCCAUCAUUGUAAGAUAACGUGUUCAAUUAUUACUAUUAUAGUUUAAGUAUUCAAACUAUUUCUCCAGUAGUUAAAUAUUUGAACUGUUUGUCCAUUACUUUAAGUUAACUAAUACAGAUGCACAUUUUAUUGAGUCAUUGAGUUUCCUUUUAGUAGAGUAAAUUUCUCCCUGUUAAUAUUUCCACACUGUUGUUGUACACUAGUGUGCAUCUACAUGUCUGUUUCAUUCACAAGGAAAAAUAUAAGAAAUAUUGACCCCUUCCUAAAAGAUAAACUGUAUAUAAUAACACCGCUUUUUGAAAAUGUAAAAUAGUCUUUGUGAAAGUAUUCAUGACAAAAAUAAUAGUUCAAAAAGAUUUAUUAAUGCGCACAUUUUAAUCAGAGCAGAAAUCCCCCUUAUAUGCGAAGGCCCUCAAGCUACAACAUGGGCAUUUAUCGGGCGUGGAGGGUCAAACGAACGAUUAUGGCAAAUGUAGGAUAAAGUAUUCACUAUUAAAAGUCGGGUUAUUUGUCGGAAGUUUUUUUUAAGGGUAUUACAAAAUUCCCGUUGUACUUCCACGAUAGCAGUACGCAUCCCAUGGAUGAACAACAGUCAAUAGUCCGUCCCCCCCAAUACAUAUCGAAAAAGAUAUCACAUCACAUUCCUGCAGUUUAAUCUUUACCAAAAAUACAUUUGCUUGAUAAGAGAGAGCAAGACUAAAAAAAAGCUUAUCUUUGCCGGCUGGCGCCUUCAUCGGUGGGAGAACUCAUCAUGAAAGAAAGUGAGCUUCAGUGUGACGUCGUCAAUGGUUCCACACGUGCAAAGUGACGUCACGCCUGCAGACUGGGCCCUUAGUGCAGCUGGAGUUUGCCAUUUUUUAACCGCGAGGACAAACGGAAACCAGGUUGGGAAAAUGUCAGUUUACAUUUCGUGCGACUGCAGAAUCGCAAUCCCUCAUAUCUGCUUUUGUCCCUCACCGUCCCGCCACUGCCUCUCUUCUGCGCGUCCACCACCACCACCACGUGCGUCCGGUCUCUGAGGGUCAAUCAGCAGCUCCGCACCAAAUAUCUCGAUGCUCACAGUGCGUUUGUAUCCCGCGGUCCCUCUACAGCACGCCGGGAGCAGCCACUCCUCUACAGCGAGGCAGGUGUUCAGGAAGCUCCUUCCCCGACCAAAGCGCCGCCGUAUCAAUUAUAGAUGGUGAGACAACCUUUAAACAUGUUCAUUAAAGACAACGCUUUCUUUAAAAAGAGAAAACACAACUCCCCUCACACCCCCCCCCCCCCCCCUCUCUCGGCUGUCGGCUUUCUCCCCCGUACCCUCUUUUCCUACUCAACCGUGUGUACGAGUGAGGAGAAAGACACAGGCGGCGCCUCGGCAACCUUGACUGGGAGACAAGCGGGAGACACGCGCGCGACUUUGCCUGUGAUGGCUGUUAGCUAGCUCCCCCUCCACCAGCCGCCUGCCUGCUGAUGUGCCAUUACCCGCUCCGGAGGAGAUGCUUGUGCGGAGGGUGACACGUUAUUAUCCUUUAAUCUCAGUCUCAGCUUGUUGAGCAUCAAAUUGAAAUAUCCUGAACAGAUGUAAAAACACAUGUGAGGUUGGGCGCGCAAGCUGCGCUGCGCUUUGUUUCAUCUAUCCGUGAUGUGAGCCUUAAGGAGAGGCUUUUUAAAAUUUCAUCACUAUUCAAAAGGAUAAUUAAUACGUACCCCCAGGCUUUGAUUAUGCGAUACCCAGUGUGUAGUGCUGGUGUUGCCAUAAUGAGCCACUCAUCAGCUCUCAGCCUGUGCCUCCAACAAACAUACAGUUUGCAUAAGGUACUUAAGAUUCUGCUGUGGCACCAUCACACUUGAGUGUAUAUGUGUGUGUGUGUGUGUGUGUGUGUGUGUGUGUGUGUGUGCCUGAAGUGUGAGUCCCCUUCUAAUUUGCAGCACAAUGCUAUAGAUUAUGUUGCAGUUUGUUUACAAGAGGACCCCCUGUCAGAUUGUCAGCAGAUAGCUGUGCCCUGUUUCUAUAACACCUGCCAUCACCUACACACACACACACACACACACACACACACACACACACACACACACACACACACACACACACACUCACUCAAUCCGUAGCUCGUUCCUAGCGUGAAAAGCAGAAGGGCGGUUGUCAGCGGGUGGGUGCUGGGGGGAUGCGGCGGCGAGACGGACGGGCAGGUGGAGACUGACAGGCCCGCGGAAUGCGAAGGGGAAUAUCGGAGAGUUCACACGUAAUGAGACCUGUCAAUUUGAACGGCUCAAGGCUCAAGCAGGUGCGGGUUCGGGGCGGCCCGUUGUUGUCUGCGAAACCAUAAUUCAGUGUAAUUUCUCACCCUUGACCAGGACCAGUCUCCAAACAACACGGUAACUGCGGCAAUCGCUGCUUUCUGAAUGGGUUGGAUACACCAAACGUUAUUUUUUAAGUGUGACUAAAUUGUCUUAAAGGUUUUGUAUCAACAUUUCCUCGCCGGUGCAACGCUGAGGGUGCAGUCGAACCCAAGCCGAGGUCCGCCCCGACAUAGUAGGACAUCAUUGUCACCAGGGCGGGGACGUCCACAGGCUUCCUACAUAUGUGCUGCUGGCGCUUGAAGCUACUCGGGGAUCCUGGUCCAGAGAAGUGGGGUACACGGGUAAUAGAGGAUGUCAUCAGAGAUUUGCCCAGGGCCUCAGAUAGCCUGUGAUGGUGCAUAAAGGAAUUUUUAGCAUGUUCACCGGGCCCUGAAGUGACACGCGAGUGAGGGGGCACCAGGACCCGCUGACAGCAGACCUGAGCUACUCCUCCGUCCUUGAAUCCAAUUCCGUGCUUGACACCAGGUGGAAUUAGCUUUGGACAGGUGAGUGAUACGUUCCUCCGAUGCCUCCGCCAAAUAGAUCCGAGGCGUCUCACGGAAGAACUGGAGCCACGGCUCUCCGGUAGCAAGCAAAUUGAGCUAUAAAGCAUCUUAUGGUAAUCACAAUAAGCGUAACGGAUCUCUUUGAUGAGGCAAGACAGGCAUCUGUGUCUAUUUAAAGAGAUGAUCUUAUCAAUUACUAAUCAAUAGUUCUCCUGCAGUUUAAAGUGGAUAAAAUAUACAUUUUCCCUGCAGAGUAUAGUGCUGAGAAAAUCAUUAGGUUUCGCUGUGCUGCUUGUUUUCAGGGUUGCUGCUUUAUUGACUUGUGUAAAUGAUCAUUCACCAGGGAGAAGGUUUAGUUUUCAACAAAUUAAUUAUGAAAGAGGAAAGAACCGCGGAGCAAAAAGGAUAAUUGUACUAACACAUUGAGAUCCUGACCAUCGCCCUGUUCUUUCUCUCUCUCCUCUGCUUGUUUCUCACUUUCCCAUCACCACCCUCUCUCCUCCACUUCGAAUCUUUUGAGUGACAAUCCAGGUGAUACUCAAGACCUUCCCAACCCCCCCACCCCCUCCGCCCCUCUCUCUCUCACCCGCAUCCCCCGGCCUCUCUGGUCAAUGGGUGUCAAUCAGAGCUCGGCCCUCACGUAGAUUGGCAACAAGUAUCCUCAUGCUCGGGAAACAAUUAUAACCGGGCCGCGGUGGAAAUGGAUUCCUGCGUCGACCCACCGCGGCGCGAUGCUCCUCUCCCGGCCGAUGGGGUCCUGCCAUGGGAAGCAAUUAUCGCUGGAUGCCAGCUGACAGCACGAUUCCAUUGCCAGCGCAAUUGUCCCUCAUCCCCGAGCUUUCUCUAGGCAAAUAGCAUCCUCAACGCUCAAAUCAAACCUCUCACCAGCCGCCCGGCUUCUAUCAGAGAUCGACAGGUUCCCUUUGUUCCUCCGGACAAUGCAGAGGGAGGAAGGCGUGUAUGAAGAGGUGUUUUUGAUUUUAAGAGCAGUCAUCUCAAACUGCUCCAUCUCCCUGGUGCGCAGCCCCAAAGAGAGGCCUUCACGCGGGUGGGGUGGAGGAGUUGGAGGAGGGUGUAGCAGGAGGCAAGUGAGGCAGAGACUUUAAUGGAGGGAGUUUGAUGUUGAUUCCUCAUACAGCCUCUAACAACGGCCAAUGUUGAAUUCAAAUGAUUUUAGUGUCCAACAAAAGGAUAACUGCUGUAGGAGAAAAAUCGCUAAUCGAUUGGUAAGUUUAAGUUAUUAAACUAUGGUAUUAAGGAUAAUAAGUUGGUUAACCUGUAAACACGAGGGGACUUUAGAGUUGAGGCUCAUUUUGGAAUUGAGGGCAGGGAAUUCUUUGGGAAAAAUGAGUGAAGAUUGAUGUGGUGGUUUAGGAAGAUGAGUGUAAGAUGAAUGAGCCUAAAUUAACAAAAAUGGUACAAUUAAUCGUUGUAAAAGUCAAGCAGUCAUCUGCCACUUUGCCUAUUAAUUGAAUAAACACAUCCAGGCAAAGUUCAGUCAAUCCUUUAAUCACUUUAAUUAAUGCACAUUGUUCUAUUUUCUCUCCCUCAGUCUUUCACUCUCCCUGUGUACCUAUGUUUGUGAAAUAAUAAAUUAAUUAGAAUACACACUGCCACCAACUAAUUAUCAUGCAAAUAAAGCAGCAACAAAGCACAGUGAGACUGUUAAUCUGUGCCAGAUCGUGGGUGAAAUUCCCCAGCGUGCUCAGAGAUGUCCACUGUGCAAUUAGAGGAAGGAGUGAGUCGGGACGGCUUAGGAGAGGAGAAGAAAGCGCAGCGCUAAAGGACGGGGGCUGCUGUCACUUAUUCACUGUCAAAUUAAUUCUGUCUCCUCCCUUGAGCCUUCCACUGUGGCAAAGUGGCUGCAGUGUCUCCCGCGUUGUUUCGUCUCCACGUAUGAGGAAACGCACUGCAAACGAUAGGAGCUCCCCCCAGCUCGCUGUUCACCGCCGUCCUCAGUUUAGAAGCGUGUUAACAAGUUUGGGCAAGUUCGUCACGUUUGGGAGAUCGUGGUUCCCUAAAGGUGUACAAAAAUCAACAUCCGAUACACGGGGAGGGUCAGGCCCAAUAUGAGGAGGUUUCAGGAAAAGACUGUGUGCUAUUUGGUUACGGUUAGGGGAACAUCGUGGGUUGAAUUGAAAUCAAAACCCCAUCAAGGCCUUCGGCACCCGUAGUUCCAAUCACCAUUCACUAAAAGGUCAAUGGACGAUUGACUUGUUGGUUGGUUGUCUAUAAAAACAUCACACUGCUUCACCCUUCAUACAAUUUCUGUCGUCCACAAGAAAUCGUGGGAUGAGAUUUGGAUUCUGGCUGUUCGGGACAUCUCUCUUCAAAUUGUGUCCCUAACUGGACAGUUGAUCCUGUUGCGGAGUGCGGAGGUCAGGAUGGCGGAAUGGUUCGAUACACAGUCGCAGGCAAGUGCAGUUUAAAUCCUCUUUCAGACCUACACAUAAAAAUGAUUAGUUUUUAGUAAUAUUAAUAUUACUUGGCCUCACGUAUCAGACAUGACCUCGAUCCCUCCCUACCCUCAACCAGUUAACAAAGUUAACUAGAUCCAGUCGGCCCCUCUCUGGUCGCCAUAUGCAGAUAUGAAGAUGUGAUUUUUUUUUCAUUGCCAUGUAUAAAAACCCACCUCUACUGUAACUCUUAAUGUGUCUCUCUUCUGCCUCUUCUUUCCAGAGCUGUAGAGCGAGUUAUCUUCAACCAACUCUCCUCCUAUCGCCACCAAGACAAGCAAUGCGCUGCUUCCUUUUUCCGUGUUACUUUUUAGCUUAGAAAGCGACUGUUCAACUUCUGGUGUUCAACAUCUGGAGUAAUUUGCACAAGACCUUUUCUAACUCUGUUACAAGUUGUGUGAAUGUGUUUGAAUCACUUUUAAACGGAUACGUUUGCUUCCUAGAGAACACUGGACUGUUUCUGUGGGCGUGCGGCAUUUGUAUUUUGGUUCGUGAUGAGUACAGACUCAUUAGUGUGUUGGACGUUGGUUCUGGCUCCCAUAUGGGAGAAGCUCGUCCCCAGCAGGCUCCAACAUGGUGGAUUGAGAUCCCCGAUGACAUCAGGACGGCAGAAAGUCUGUUCAGCCUCCGACACAAAGCAGUAGUAGCGGUAACCAGGUGGAAGAACAGCGCUGCAAAACCGUCGCGACCGUUCCGCACAUUCUUGGUCGUCGCCUCACUCGAUGCCUUGCACUGAUUGGAGGCAGCCUGGGUUGCUUUUGAAUGAAAUGAAAUGCGUCCGUUAGUAAUCAAAGGUCGCUAAUUAGCAGUGGCAUUAGUUUCCGUGCAUGCGUGACGUGACGUGAUUCUUUUUAUCAAAGGCCUCUUUGUUUAUGAAGCCCAGACGCGUCACCUGCUGUGUCUAAACCGAAUGCUUAUUCUGCGACUUCCCUUCAACUUUCCGGCAUUAACCUACUUAGGAAAGAACUUACUCCCAGGUAAUUGCACCCCCACCCCCCACCCUCCGACGACACACACACUCACGCGCACAGACAGCCCAUAGAAUCAGAUGCAAAGAGGACCUUGUUUAAAAAUUCAGACCCCAUCUUGAUUCAUCCCCGGUGAAUUCAAAGAACACAUCAAGGGUGCUCUUCUACGAGAGAGGAACCAAUCACAAGCACCCUUUCCCCCCCUUUGUGGCCAUGUAGGGUGGAUAUGCCACAAAAUACCAAAACAAACAAGAGCAAAAGGGCCUUAUUAUCAGCGGCCUCGUUAUCAUAACGCUCUAAUUUGCCUAAAUCAUGUCCUUAUUAGGCCCAAAAGUCUCUCUGUCCCGGCUGGGUAAUGAGAGACCAGGCUGGGAUUCUUCUCCCAGCUCUGACAUGUCUUUUAUUACUCUAACACUAAAUGGAGGCAAUGACGAACAUUUCAGUUGUGGGAUUACUAGCCGUGUACCCUUCAUGUAAGAGAGGGGGAAAUGGGCCCUCUUUUAAUAUUUGAUUGAUUUCUUUUUUUUCUUUUUUUCCUGUGUAAUUUGGUCCAAUUCAUCAUUUGAGGCCUUUCGUUUGCUCGCUUUGUGAAAUUUGUCUAAUGCGGAAGUCCUGAUUACUGGACCCAUGUUAGCCUUUGAUAUCCAUUUUUGUCUCGUCCUAAUUUUGGCCGCUGCGACUGCUGGAAACUUUCCGCUCACUCCGAGCGUCCAACUUUUUUGCCAAUUUCACAGCGAGCGUAUUUGCAGAGUGUCCUGCAAACGACACAGUUAAACUAUUCACAAAAGAGACGGGGGCCGAGCCGGAUCGUCUUAAUGCUUGUUUUCAGUGUGGUUUGAUCAGGGAAUGUUUUAGAAACAGCUGGAGUUCUCGGUCGGGCGGCAUCAGAAGAAGGAAGGCAAAGAGCGAUGCACAUGUACCACAACAACUGACCUCUUCUGUGGAAUGUAAACCGUCCAUGAAAUAAUAAGCUGCUUGUCACGAACCCCACGUUGAACACACCAGCGGUCAUUUGGGAAGGCAAAACAUCAGUCUUGUUAUAAACGAAGAAAACACAAAAAAUUUGUAUGUAAACAGCAACAAAAUGCUACGGAAAUCAUUUUUGCCACGUGGAAAGGAAAGAAGGAUCACAAUCUUCAAAUGCUUCCCUCCGCGCGUCGGUCUCGAUCUAUUUUAUUAUUUCCAAAAGGAGAAAAAAAAAAAAGGGAAAACAUCCAUUAUCAGUAAAAAAUGUGAGGGAAUCACAUUCAUUAUUUUCAUUACACACACACACCAAAUUGCAUCAAGCUUAUGAAAUAUUUCUUCCUCCUGUUCAAAGGCUUGUUAGAGCUGGUCUUCAAUUACAGCCGUGGCUGUAACGUGCUGUCAGGUCUCUUUAGCCAUUCGUUAAGUCGGGGGCCAUUCCGCGCUGCGCGAGCUAACCGAGGGCCUAAUUGUUGUUUUGGUGGCUAAAGGUCGGCUAAUGAAGCAGGAGGCUGACGGAGGCUGGUGGUGCGACAGCGGCGGGGUGGGGGGGGG
Molecule: long non-coding RNA, 12952 nt
Organism: Gasterosteus aculeatus aculeatus (three-spined stickleback)
Lineage: Eukaryota; Metazoa; Chordata; Actinopteri; Perciformes; Gasterosteidae
Source: Ensembl